This 469-nucleotide ribosomal RNA is filed under the name uncultured bacterium. RNAcentral's name for it is "partial 16S ribosomal RNA". It matches the Rfam family "Bacterial small subunit ribosomal RNA", at positions 28 to 507 of the family's 1533-position model. The record is from RNAcentral.
GACGAACGCUGGCGGCGUGCUUAACACAUGCAAGUCGAACGGAAAGGCCCUGCUUUUGUGGGGUGCUCGAGUGGCGAACGGGUGAGUAACACGUGAGUAACCUGCCCUUGACUUUGGGAUAACUUCAGGAAACUGGGGCUAAUACCGGAUAGGAGCUCCUGCUGCAUGGUGGGGGUUGGAAAGUUUCGGCGGUUGGGGAUGGACUCGCGGCUUAUCAGCUUGUUGGUGGGGUAGUGGCUUACCAAGGCUUUGACGGGUAGCCGGCCUGGGAGGGUGACCGGCCCAGAUUGGAAUGGAGACCCGGCCGGACAUCGCAGGGGGGGGAGCGGGGGGGAGUAUGGCAAAAGGGGGGGGCGCGUGAGGCAGCAGCCCCGCGGGGGGGAGACGGGCCUUCGGGUUGAAAACCGCUUUCGCCGGUAAGGAAGGGGGAGGGAGGGAAAGGGGAAAAAAAGCCCCGGCAAACUAGGUG